GACGAACGCUGGCGGCGUGCUUAACACAUGCAAGUCGUACGGUAAGGCCCUUUCGGGGGUACACGAGUGGCGAACGGGUGCGUAACACGUGAGUAACCUUCCCACAACUUUGGGAUAACGCUAGGAAACUGGUGCUAAUACUGGAUAUGUGCUCCUGCUGCAUGGUGGGGGUUGGAAAGCUCCGGCGGUUGUGGAUGGACUCGCGGGCUAUCAGCUUGUUGGUGGGGUAGUGGCCUACCAAGGCGGCGACGGGUAGCCGGACUGAGAGGGUGACCGGCCACAUUGGGACUGAGAUACGGCCCAGACUCCGACGGGAGGCAGCAGUGGGGAAGAUUGCACAAUGGGCGCAAGCCUGAUGCAGAAACGCCGCGGGCGGGAUGACGGCCUUCGGGUUGGAAACCGCUUUCAGCAGGGACGAAGCUUUUUGUGACGGUACCUGCAGAAGAAGCACCGGCUAACUACGUG
RNAcentral lists this ribosomal RNA (465 nucleotides) under uncultured bacterium. Its description in RNAcentral is "partial 16S ribosomal RNA". It matches the Rfam family "Bacterial small subunit ribosomal RNA", at positions 28 to 507 of the family's 1533-position model. The record is from RNAcentral.